AGCGGUGAGUAACACGUGGGUAACCUGCCCAUAAGACUGGGAUAACUCCGGGAAACCGGGGCUAAUACCGGAUAACAUUUUGAACCGCAUGGUUCGAAAUUGAAAGGCGGCUUCGGCUGUCACUUAUGGAUGGACCCGCGUCGCAUUAGCUAGUUGGUGAGGUAACGGCUCACCAAGGCAACGAUGCGUAGCCGACCUGAGAGGGUGAUCGGCCACACUGGGACUGAGACACGGCCCAGACUCCUACGGGAGGCAGCAGUAGGGAAUCUUCCGCAAUGGACGAAAGUCUGACGGAGCAACGCCGCGUGAGUGAUGAAGGCUUUCGGGUCGUAAAACUCUGUUGUUAGGGAAGAACAAGUGCUAGUUGAAUAAGCUGGCACCUUGACGGUACCUAACCAGAAAGCCACGGCUAACUACGUGCCAGCAGCCGCGGUAAUACGUAGGUGGCAAGCGUUAUCCGGAAUUAUUGGGCGUAAAGCGCGCGCAGGUGGUUUCUUAAGUCUGAUGUGAAAGCCCACGGCUCACCGUGGAGGGUCAUUGGAAACUGGGAGACUUGAGUGCAGAAGAGGAAAGUGGAAUUCCAUGUGUAGCGGUGAAAUGCGUAGAGAUAUGGAGGAACACCAGUGGCGAAAGCGACUUUCUGGUCUGUAACUGACACUGAGGCGCGAAAGCGUGGGGGAGCAAACAGGAUUAGAUACCCUGGUAGUCCACGCCGUAACGAUGAGUGCUAAGUGUUAGAGGGUUUCCGCCCUUUAGUGCUGAAGUUAACGCAUUAAGCACUCCGCCUGGGGAGUACGGCCGCAAGGCUGAAACUCAAGGAAUUGACGGGGGCCGCACAAGCGGUGGAGCAUGGUGGUUUAAUUCGAAGCAACGCGAAGAACCUUACCAGGUCUGACAUCCUCUGAAACCCUAGAGAUAGGGCUCUCUCGGGAGCAGAGUGAACAGGUGUGCAUGAUGUCGUCAGCUCCGUGUCGUGAAAUGUGGUAGUCCGCACGGAGCGCAUCUGAAUCCUAGUUGCAUCAUAGUGGGUCACUCUAAGUGACUGCCGUGACACCGAGGACGUGGGCAUGACGUCAUCAUCAUGCUAUGACUGGCUACACGUGUCUCAAUGACGUACAAGCUUCAGAACG
This 1130-nucleotide ribosomal RNA is filed under the name Bacillus cereus. RNAcentral describes it as "bacterial SSU rRNA". It matches the Rfam family "Bacterial small subunit ribosomal RNA", at positions 100 to 1251 of the family's 1533-position model. Lineage: Bacteria; Bacillati; Bacillota; Bacilli; Caryophanales; Bacillaceae. The record is from RNAcentral.